This 446-nucleotide ribosomal RNA is filed under the name uncultured bacterium. RNAcentral describes it as "partial 16S ribosomal RNA". It matches the Rfam family "Bacterial small subunit ribosomal RNA", at positions 338 to 795 of the family's 1533-position model. The record is from RNAcentral.
CCUACGGGAGGCAGCAGUCGAGAAUCAUUCACAAUGGGGGAAACCCUGAUGGUGCGACUCCGCGUGGGGGAAUGAAGGUCUUCGGAUUGUAAACCCCUGUCAUGUGGGAGCAAAUUAAAAAGAUAGUACCACAAGAGGAAGAGACGGCUAACUCUGUGCCAGCAGCCGCGGUAAUACAGAGGUCUCAAGCGUUGUUCGGAAUCACUGGGCGUAAGGCGUGCGUAGGCUGUUUCGUAAGUCGUGUGUGAAAGGCGCGGGCUCAACCCGCGGACGGCACAUGAUACUGCGAGACUAGAGUAAUGGGGGGGGAACCGGAAUUCUCGGUGUAGCAGUGAAAUGCGUAGAUAUCGAGAGGAACACUCGUGGCGAAGGCGGGUUCCUGGACAUUAACUGACGCUGAGGCACGAAGGCCAGGGGAGCGAAAGGGAUUAGAUACCCUGGUAGUC